Molecule: long non-coding RNA, 1095 nt
Organism: Aethina tumida (small hive beetle)
Lineage: Eukaryota; Metazoa; Arthropoda; Insecta; Coleoptera; Nitidulidae
Exons: 5
Source: RefSeq, a predicted model, not a curated record
UACCGGAAACCCUAAUUAUGAAAGUCAUAUUAAAGGCAUAUUAUUGUUAUUAAUUGUUAGGGAUCAUCCCGUGUAGCUACAUUUUGGUAAGUUACCUCUCGUUGUAGUGUAACUUCCAAGUUGAGGAGAGUCAGAUGUAGUGAAACCAGAUUUAUUAGUCGUUUGUACCUUCCUGUAUAUUAAACUGUAAUUAUCUGUUGAUAUACCGCACGGUAUAUAUAGCUUGUCUCAACUGUUGUCAGAGUAACCACGUGGAUUGUCGGUGUUUUUGUCCACUGUAUGCUACAUUUGUACUGGUCAUGUUUGCAACUAAGGAAAACCAAGGGUCACCUGUUAGUGCAUGAAACUAGUGACUAAGAGUCGUGUUUUCAUCAAACCCAGCCCAUCUGAAAAUGCCCAGGCGUCCUAAAUUAGGAAUACGGAGAGAUUGGCAAAGAUGUAUCUAUCAAGCUGGAGGUUUUGAAAAAGAAUUUCUACAAAGUGAAUUAUUGAAGUCGUGAACGAUAGAGCAAAGGGGAAGAGAAAGAACCACAUCUAAAAGAAAGAUGAUUCAACUAAAUAUAUAACGGUUAGACGUUUCCGGUCGGGGUAUGAUAACAAGCUCCUUCGAAAUUUAAUAAGCCAAUGGUGAUAAGAAUAUUGAGGUGUGACGUCUUGUUAUACAUUGUAUUAAUUGAAGAAAUACUAAGAACAACCAGUGUCCAGAAGAAUAUAUCAGUGUCUCUCAGAAUGUUACAGUCUUCUCAUGAUAAAUGAAUGAUUAAAUUGACAUACAUACAAAGUGAAUCUGAUACGAAAGAAGUUAAACUUAAGGGUCAUCGUCGCAAGAAGAUUGAGGUGUGAAGUCUUUUUAAACAUUGUAUUAAAUGAAGAAAUACUAAGAACAACCAGUAUCCAGAGGAAUAUAUGAGUAUCUGUGUACCAGAUAUUGAAAAUUUCGCACCAUAACUGACAUUUAAAAUAAUUGAAAUUAUGUAUGUUACUUAAAACUGACAAUAUUUUAAGUAACAAGCAUAAAUUAUUAUUUCUGUUAAAUUUCUAUUAAAAAUUAUAUUUUAUUGGGUAUAUUAUAGGUAUAUAAUUUGUUGUCAAAAA